CCUCGAUUUUCUUUGAAUUUAAUUCUUACUCAAGAUCCUUUAUUUUGUAUUUGUUUUCUAUAAUUCGACUAUAUUACUUCAAAAGACUGCAAUAUUCAGUCAAAAAGACAAUAAAGACUGAUAAAAGUAUGACUGCUAAUUUUUAUAUUUAACAAUAUUAUGUUAUGUUUAUUAAAUGAAAAUUAUUUUUUACAAGUAUUGUAGUCAAUAUUUAUCCUUUUCCUAC
Molecule: long non-coding RNA, 226 nt
Organism: Melitaea cinxia (Glanville fritillary)
Lineage: Eukaryota; Metazoa; Arthropoda; Insecta; Lepidoptera; Nymphalidae
Exons: 2
Source: RefSeq, a predicted model, not a curated record